RNAcentral lists this ribosomal RNA (972 nucleotides) under uncultured bacterium. RNAcentral's name for it is "bacterial SSU rRNA". It matches the Rfam family "Bacterial small subunit ribosomal RNA", at positions 430 to 1401 of the family's 1533-position model. The record is from RNAcentral.
CUUUUUUUGUCAGGAACCAAAGGCGUCGAGUAGUCCCCCGAUGAGAGUACCUGAAGAAAAAGCAUCGGCUAACUCCGUGCCAGCAGCCGCGGUAAUACGGAGGAUGCGAGCGUUAUCCGGAUUUAUUGGGUUUAAAGGGUGCGCAGGCGGCUUGUUAAGUCAGCGGUAAAAGCCCGGGGCUCAACCCCGUCGAGCCGUUGAAACUGGCGGUCUGGAGUUGGAGAGAAGUACGCGGAAUGCGCGGUGUAGCGGUGAAAUGCUUAGAUAUCGCGCAGAACCCCGAUUGCGAAGGCAGCGUACCGGCUUCACACUGACGCUGAGGCACGAAAGCGUGGGUAUCGAACAGGAUUAGAUACCCUGGUAGUCCACGCAGUAAACGAUGAAUGCUAGGUGUCCGGGCAGAGAUAUCCCUGGGGGGCGCAGCGAAAGCGAUAAGCAUUCCACCUGGGGAGUACGCCGGCAACGGUGAAACUCAAAGGAAUUGACGGGGGCCCGCACAAGCGGAGGAACAUGUGGUUUAAUUCGAUGAUACGCGAGGAACCUUACCCGGGCUCAAACGGGAGAGGGCGGGGGUAGAGACGCCCCUCUCUCUCGGGACGUCUUCCGAGGUGCUGCAUGGUUGUCGUCAGCUCGUGCCGUGAGGUGUCGGCUUAAGUGCCAUAACGAGCGCAACCCCCGCGUGCAGUUGCCAGCAGGAAAGGCUGGGGACUCUGCAGGGACUGCCGGCGCAAGCCGCGAGGAAGGCGGGGAUGACGUCAAAUCAGCACGGCCCUUACGUCCGGGGCGACACACGUGUUACAAUGGGGGGUACAGCGGGAAGCCAGGCGGCGACGCCGAGCGGAACCCGAAAGCCCCUCUCAGUUCGGAUCGGAGUCUGCAACCCGACUCCGUGAAGCUGGAUUCGCUAGUAAUCGCGCAUCAGCCAUGGCGCGGUGAAUACGUUCCCGGGCCUUGCACUCACCGCCCGUCAAG